Long non-coding RNA from Phacochoerus africanus (Common warthog), 609 nucleotides. RefSeq lists it as uncharacterized. The record is from RefSeq and is a predicted model, not a curated record. Lineage: Eukaryota; Metazoa; Chordata; Mammalia; Artiodactyla; Suidae. The transcript is spliced from 4 exons.
CUGGGCUGCCGCACGAGUGGCCUGCCGGGUGCGGGGGAAAAUGUUCGAGCGCGAGCCCCCGCGGGGCCACUGGGGAGACGGAGGGCAGAAACGGGGGCUGUUGGAGCCAGCCUAAGCCUGGGUGUAAGCUCUGUCACUCAGAGCUCGGGACUAGGCGCUUUUGGGUGCAAAACGAGUGGCCCACACAACUCCCUGGCUAGAAGAGGCCCGAGUCUGGGAGGGGAGAGAUUUGGAGAAACCGAAUCUCAACUCCCUGAAGGCAGUGACGUGUCUCUUCUCUGCUGUAUUCCGGGUGCCUGAAAUGUGCCUGGCAGGAAACUUUCAUUUUGGCCACAUAUGUACCUGUGUGUACGCAGGCAUGUGUGCUUCUGUGAGCAUGCCCUGGAUCUCAAUGCCAAGAUGGAAGAGGAGAAGCUGAUGUGACCACAAAGGCAGAGGUUGAAGUACUGUGGCCACAAGCCAAGAAUGCUGGCCACCAUCAGAAUCCAGCCACCAGGAUUCUCUCUUGGAACUUCUGAAGGGAACACAGCCUUGAUGAUACCUUGAUUUCUGCUCGGUAAUACAGAUUUUGUAUUUCUGCCUUCCAGACCUGUGUGAGAAUAAAUUUCU